CAGUCGCCGCGGGAAUACGAAGGGGGCUAGCGUUGUUCGGAAUUACUGGGCGUAAAGCGCACGUAGGCGGAUCUUUAAGUCAGAGGUGAAAUCCCAAGGCUCAACCUUGGAACUGCCUUUGAUACUGGGGAUCUUGAGUCCGGAAGAGGUGAGUGGAACUGCGAGUGUAGAGGUGAAAUUCGUAGAUAUUCGCAAGAACACCAGUGGCGAAGGCGGCUCACUGGUCCGGUACUGACGCUGAGGUGCGAAAGCGUGGGGAGCAAACAGGAUUAGAUACCCCAGUAGUCCCUGUCUCUUAUAC
RNAcentral lists this ribosomal RNA (301 nucleotides) under uncultured bacterium. RNAcentral's name for it is "partial 16S ribosomal RNA". It matches the Rfam family "Bacterial small subunit ribosomal RNA", at positions 509 to 807 of the family's 1533-position model. The record is from RNAcentral.